CUGAGAUGUUUCUGGUCCUUGCGAUGUGCAUUUGCAUUGUAUCACAAGGAAUGAGCUCCAGUGACUGCCGGGCCAGCCCAAAGGUGGAACCCAUCCCACAACGGAUUGGUAUGACUAGGCAAUAUCCUUGGGAUGCAAACUGCACACAUGUCCCUCUCACCUCACAAGUAGAAGCUGACUCAGUAUAUGCUGUUAAUCAUACCUUACACUUUAUGAGACUAAAAUACCCUCAGUGCCAGGGAGGGAACGUCCUGUGGGACUGAAAUGAUACAAUCAUACGCUGGUUGCCACACACACAUGGUCCAGAGGAUCCGUAUGGGGUGUGGCAUCUAGGCAUGUGGCAGCUUAAUCGGACUAAGAAGUGUGGAGUGAAUCAUGAUUUGUCCUAGGGAUAGUGAGGGACCCAGCAACAGGGUGGGGUCUUGUUUCCUUUGGGCAACUGAUUCACAGGCACCUCCAUCACACGGUCUGAUUGAAAUUGGGGAACCUCUGGGUUUAUUAGAAAACCUUAUCUAACACCGGGUUCAGGUUUAUGUCAAUUUAUUUAGUCUACCUUUUCUACUCUGUAUCAACUCUUUAUGGGUCAGGUUAAUGAUGCUAUUAAACGAUAUGUCCAACAAAGUAAGGUCACCCAGGACGGAAAAGCCGGAGGUAGACAGCGUCAUGAAAUCUUAUCUAAAGCUGCUGGAUGGUUAGGGGCAGCUAAUUCUGAAAUCAAUACAUUGAAUGAUGAGUUUCAACAUCAAUAUGAUGACAGCACACAUAUGUAUGCAGCUACAGAGUUAGCAGAAGCUGCUAUGGCUAUACACAGCAGUACUGAAGCUAUGCUAUGACCUUAGGAUCUAUUAGAGUGUUAUUAAUUGUGCUUAUGAAUGUUACUGUGCUUAUAAUGUUACUCAGCAUGAAGGAAGAUGUUACAGGAUGGGAAAUGUUAUGGUAAACCAAUUAGAACGGGAUAUUACUCAUUUACUGUCUGGACGACUAUCAGUGAAUCAUAGAGCUCAAUUACGAGCAAACGUUGAAGGUGGUUUAGGGAUAGAAUGGGCUGCUGAAAUAUGGGACGCUGUACUCACCCCUCCAUUCCGGCGCCCUCAUGACACAACGAACUUAACAUAUCAGCUGUUGAUUCCUUCUGGGGAACAACUGCAACCGCGGGCACUGAUAGCUGUCCGACAUUUAGCAAUGCAACAAGGUAAUCAUGUAUAUAUGCUAGCCACUGUAGGUUGGGUGGGUAAUAAUUAAUUAUAUUGUUGUAUGUUCUUGUGAUGGGAAACUUAACACUAUACUAAUUUGCAAUUGCGUGCUAUUGUUAGGCCUCUUAAAGGCUUUGAGCAGGUCAUGCAGCAGAACUGUUCUCACUGGUGUAUUACUUCUGAUCGCACUCACCUUUCCAUACGACACCAGUAUCUCAUAAUGCAAACAUGUUAUGCUUUACCGCGCUUAUUUGUGGACUGGUUGGGACAGCUAGAGACUCUUGAUCAUUCAGCCCACCUCCAAACGAUACAGAAGAUGAAAACUGCUCUGGACAAGGCUCAACACGAAACAAUGAUGGCUGAGGUACACGCUGAUAUGGUGCAAGCUGACGCCAAGGUUAUCAGACCAUGUGCCUCAUCUUCAGGAUGGGGUUUUGGACCAGGGGCAAGGGUCGAUUGCUUUGGCUGGUGGAACAUUUCCGGCUGAGUUGCCCCCUUGGGGUCCCUUGUCACGCUUGUUCUGGUGUUCCUUUUCUACUGUCGAAUGCGCCGCACCCUCCAUCAAUAUCAACGCACUCAAUGGACUGUCAGGCUGUGAAGAAUGCACUGCUCUAAAUUGAGUGAGUGGAGAAGACGCUCACUGUCAUGUGCUGGUAACCUCUGACAGGAGGCGCAAUUGGCCACAGGCCAAAAGUGGGAGGUGAAGGGUUGAAAUAAAUAUUAGUUAAAAAAGUAGUAUGAAAAUGCUUGAAUAUGUCUGUGUAGGCUGUGUUGAAAUAUGGAUAGGUAAGUCAGCCCUUUACAAGGACAUCGCACUUUGGCUGUGUGCCGAGAACAUCUUGUGUGUACUGAGAACAUCUUGUGAUAGUUUGUUUCCUUUUAAGAUGAAUAUACGUUCUGCUGCAUGCACACACUAUUUUGUCUUUUUUGUGCAUUACCAUAAAAGCUGUACUUUGUAAAUAUGUGUCAGAGAAGCAUUAACAGAUUGCCUGUGAACUGUUGUCUCUCCAGAAUUCUGCUUAAUAAAACUGCUGCUUCGUA
Long non-coding RNA from Acipenser ruthenus (sterlet), 2234 nucleotides. RefSeq lists it as uncharacterized. The transcript has 2 exons. Lineage: Eukaryota; Metazoa; Chordata; Actinopteri; Acipenseriformes; Acipenseridae. The record is from RefSeq and is a predicted model, not a curated record.